GCAGUGGUGGUUUAGUGGUAGAAUUCCUGCCCUCCAUGCAAGAGACCCUGGUUUGAUUCCUGGCCAAUGCA
This 71-nucleotide transfer RNA is filed under the name Loxodonta africana (African savanna elephant). It matches the Rfam family "tRNA". Rfam says of the family: Transfer RNA (tRNA) molecules are approximately 80 nucleotides in length. Their secondary structure includes four short double-helical elements and three loops (D, anti-codon, and T loops). Lineage: Eukaryota; Metazoa; Chordata; Mammalia; Proboscidea; Elephantidae. The record is from Rfam by way of RNAcentral.